This 112-nucleotide ribosomal RNA is filed under the name Anaerobacillus alkalidiazotrophicus. Its description in RNAcentral is "partial 16S ribosomal RNA". It matches the Rfam family "Bacterial small subunit ribosomal RNA", at positions 1 to 108 of the family's 1533-position model. Lineage: Bacteria; Bacillati; Bacillota; Bacilli; Caryophanales; Bacillaceae. The record is from RNAcentral.
UUUUAUGGAGAGUUUGAUCCUGGCUCAGGACGAACGCUGGCGGCGUGCCUAAUACAUGCAAGUCGAGCGAAUGGAUGGGAGCUUGCUCCCUGAAAUUAGCGGCGGACGGGUG